Molecule: ribosomal RNA, 425 nt
Filed under: uncultured bacterium
Lineage: Bacteria
Description: partial 16S ribosomal RNA
Rfam family: Bacterial small subunit ribosomal RNA
Source: RNAcentral
GUGGGGAAUCUUGCGCAAUGGGCGAAAGCCUGACGCAGCCAUGCCGCGUGAAUGAUGAAGGUCUUAGGAUUGUAAAAUUCUUUCACCGGGGACGAUAAUGACGGUACCCGGAGAAGAAGCUCCGGCUAACUUCGUGCCAGCAGCCGCGGUAAUACGAAGGGGGCUAGCGUUGCUCGGAAUUACUGGGCGUAAAGGGCGCGUAGGCGGACAGCUUAGUCAGAGGUGAAAGCCCAGGGCUCAACCUUGGAAUUGCCUUUGAUACUGGCUGUCUUGAGUUUGGGAGAGGUGAGUGGAACUCCGAGUGUAGAGGUGAAAUUCGCAGAUAUUCGGAAGAACACCAGUGGCGAAGGCGACUCACUGGCCCAAUACUGACGCUGAGGCGCGAAAGCGUGGGGAGCAAACAGGAUUAGAAACCCGUGUAGUCC